AUGGCAAUUUUAGGUUUAGGGAAAAUAUGCACUGUUGCUCCUGAUCAAACCAAUUGGCCAAUAUCCAGUUAUCCUGCUAUGUGUAUGGAUUUGUUUAUGUGGAUUUGGUCUAAUCUAUGUCCUCCUGUUGAUCUACUGGUCCGUGUGUGUGUGUGUGUGUGUGUGUGUGUGUGUGUGUGUGUGUGUGUGUGUGGAGUAAAGUUGUGGUUUGUGCUUCUCCUUUGUAACAUGAUGAAACAAGCACCUGUAGCGUCUGAGUUAGUGGGUGUUUGUCUACAUGGUAAAGCUUCUUUGCCAUGUAUUUCAUAA
RNAcentral lists this ribosomal RNA (309 nucleotides) under Triticum aestivum (bread wheat). RNAcentral describes it as "partial small subunit ribosomal RNA". Lineage: Eukaryota; Viridiplantae; Streptophyta; Magnoliopsida; Poales; Poaceae. The record is from RNAcentral.